This 19-nucleotide unclassified non-coding RNA is filed under the name Influenza A virus (A/goose/Guangdong/1/1996(H5N1)). Its description in RNAcentral is "RNA (5'-R(P*AP*GP*UP*AP*GP*AP*AP*AP*CP*AP*AP*GP*GP*AP*GP*UP*UP*UP*U)-3') from Influenza A virus (A/goose/Guangdong/1/1996(H5N1)) (PDB 8H69, chain 5)". The record is from RNAcentral. Lineage: Riboviria; Orthornavirae; Negarnaviricota; Insthoviricetes; Articulavirales; Orthomyxoviridae.
AGUAGAAACAAGGAGUUUU